CCCCCCUUGCUGCAUGGUGCUCCCUCUCCCCUCCGUGAUGGACCCAGUGCUGACCGUGCUUGGGGGAAGAUGAGGCCUGGACUGAGGUGAUCGGUACCCUCACAGCGAUUGCCGUCAGGUUUGAGAUGCUGAGCACUGCUCACCGCAGUCAGAUCACCCUGGACCUGGAGGACAGCAGCAUCUUCACCAAGGGAACCAAGAGCGGUGCCUUUGUGAUGUACAACUGUGCCCGGCUGGCCACGCUCUUCAACACCUUCCAGCAGGCUGUGGAGCAGGGUGAGCACCACCUGCAGCCCUCAUGGCCACUGAGGGGCUGUUCCUCACACCUGGAGCCACAGG
Long non-coding RNA from Neopsephotus bourkii (Bourke's parrot), 339 nucleotides. RefSeq lists it as uncharacterized. The transcript is spliced from 3 exons. The record is from RefSeq and is a predicted model, not a curated record. NCBI's taxonomy places the organism in Eukaryota, Metazoa, Chordata, Aves, Psittaciformes, Psittacidae.